Molecule: ribosomal RNA, 472 nt
Filed under: uncultured bacterium
Lineage: Bacteria
Description: bacterial SSU rRNA
Rfam family: Bacterial small subunit ribosomal RNA
Source: RNAcentral
AGAGUUUGAUCAUGGCUCAGAACGAACGCUGGCGGCAUGCCUAACACAUGCAAGUCGAACGAGACCUUCGGGUCUAGUGGCGCACGGGUGCGUAACACGUGGGAAUCUGCCCAGGGGUAUGGAAUAACUCAGGGAAACUUGAGCUAAUGCCAUAUGAUGCCGCAAGGCCAAAGAUUUAUCGCCCUUGGAUGAGCCCGCGUAGGAUUAGCUAGUUGGUGGGGUAAAGGCCUACCAAGGCUACGAUCCCUAGCAGGUGUGAGAGCACGACCCGCGCCACUGGCACUGAGACACUGGCCAGACACCUACGGGUGGCUGCAGUGGGGAAUAUUGGACAAUGGGCGAAAGCCUGAUCCAGCAAUGCCGCGUGAGUGAAGAAGGCCUUCGGGUUGUAAAGCUCUUUUACCCGGGACGAUAAUGACGGUACCGGGAGAAUAAGCCCCGGCUAACUCCGUGCCAGCCGCCGCGGUAAUAC